ACUGCUGCUCGGCCUUUUGGCAAAGAUCAAGAGUAGUAUCUGUUCUUAUCAGUUUAAUAGCUGAUACACCCUCUAUGCAAGGAUAAUUUAUUAACUGGAUUUGUAGAGCAGUGAAGAUGGAAUGGGAGCUUCCUCUGUCCACUCCACGCAACGACCCGAUAUUGCAGUACUUUGGGGAAUGGCGCAUACACA
Small nuclear RNA from Pteronotus mesoamericanus, 192 nucleotides. RefSeq annotates it as U2 spliceosomal RNA. Lineage: Eukaryota; Metazoa; Chordata; Mammalia; Chiroptera; Mormoopidae. The record is from RefSeq and is a predicted model, not a curated record. The transcript has a single exon.